RNAcentral lists this ribosomal RNA (253 nucleotides) under uncultured bacterium. Its description in RNAcentral is "partial 16S ribosomal RNA". It matches the Rfam family "Bacterial small subunit ribosomal RNA", at positions 524 to 776 of the family's 1533-position model. The record is from RNAcentral.
GACAGAGGAGCCAAGCGUUGUCCGGAUUGACUGGGCGUAAAGCGCACGCAGGCGGUUGCGCGCGUGGGGUGUGAAAGCUGGUGGCUUAACUGCCAGACGUCAUCCCAUACGGCGCGACUCGAGCCCGUGAGAGGUCCACGGAAUUGCCGGUGUAGUGGUGAAAUGCGUAGAGAUCGGCAGGAACACCCAGGGGGAAACCAGUGGACUGGCACGGUGCUGACGCUCAGGUGCGAAAGCGUGGGGAGCGAACCGG